GCGGGUAACGCAUAAAUGGUGGUGCACCAGCUUGCCAUGCUGGAAUAGAGUCGGUUCGAUUCCGAUUACCCGCUCCA
RNAcentral lists this transfer RNA (77 nucleotides) under Bacteroides graminisolvens. RNAcentral's name for it is "tRNA-Gly". It matches the Rfam family "tRNA". Rfam says of the family: Transfer RNA (tRNA) molecules are approximately 80 nucleotides in length. Their secondary structure includes four short double-helical elements and three loops (D, anti-codon, and T loops). Lineage: Bacteria; Pseudomonadati; Bacteroidota; Bacteroidia; Bacteroidales; Bacteroidaceae. The record is from RNAcentral.